CCGAGUAUCUACUCAUAACCCUUUGUGAACCAUAUUGUUGCUUCGGCGGCUCGUUCUGCGAGCCCGCCGGUCCAUCAGUCUCUCUGUUUAUACCAACGAUACUUCUGAGUGUUCUUAGCGAACUAUUA
RNAcentral lists this unclassified non-coding RNA (128 nucleotides) under Verticillium dahliae. Its description in RNAcentral is "ITS1". Lineage: Eukaryota; Fungi; Ascomycota; Sordariomycetes; Glomerellales; Plectosphaerellaceae. The record is from RNAcentral.